Macaca fascicularis (crab-eating macaque) is the source of this 117-nucleotide unclassified non-coding RNA. It matches the Rfam family "Metazoan signal recognition particle RNA". From Rfam's summary of the family: The signal recognition particle (SRP) is a universally conserved ribonucleoprotein. It is involved in the co-translational targeting of proteins to membranes. The record is from Ensembl. NCBI's taxonomy places the organism in Eukaryota, Metazoa, Chordata, Mammalia, Primates, Cercopithecidae.
GCCAGGUGUGGUGGCUCACGCCUGUAAUCCCAGCACUUCGGGAGGCUGAGGCAGGUGGAUCACCUGAGGUCAGGAGUUUGAGACCAGCCUGGCCAACAUGGUGAAACCCUGUCUCUA